GCCAGGUGUGAUGGCACAUGCCUAUAAUCCCAGCAACUCAGGAGGCUGAAGCAGGAGGAUCACAAUUUUGAGGUCAGCCUCAGCAAUCUAGCAAAACCCUAAAUAACUUAGUGAGACUCUGUCUCUA
RNAcentral lists this small RNA (127 nucleotides) under Marmota monax (woodchuck). Lineage: Eukaryota; Metazoa; Chordata; Mammalia; Rodentia; Sciuridae. The record is from RNAcentral.